Molecule: ribosomal RNA, 492 nt
Filed under: uncultured bacterium
Lineage: Bacteria
Description: partial 16S ribosomal RNA
Rfam family: Bacterial small subunit ribosomal RNA
Source: RNAcentral
AGUGAACGCUGGCGGUAGGCCUAACACAUGCAAGUCGAACGGCAGCACAGUAAGAGCUUGCUCUUACGGGUGGCGAGUGGCGGACGGGUGAGGAAUACAUCGGAAUCUACUUUUUCGUGGGGGAUAACGUAGGGAAACUUACGCUAAUACCGCAUACGACCUACGGGUGAAAGCAGGGGAUCUUCGGACCUUGCGCGAUUGAAUGAGCCGAUGUCGGAUUAGCUAGUUGGCGGGGUAAAGGCCCACCAAGGCGACGAUCCGUAGCUGGGCUGAGAGGAUGAUAAGCCACACUGGAACUGAGACACGGUCCAGACUCCUACGGGAGGCAGCAGUGGGGAAUAUUGGACAAUGGGCGCAAGCCUGAUCCAGCCAUACCGCGUGGGUGAAGAAGGCCUUCGGGUUGUAAAGCCCUUUUGUUGGGAAAGAAAAGCAGCAGGUUAAUACCCCGCUGUUCUGACGGUACCCAAAGAAUAAGCACCGGCUAACUUCGUG